CCUGCCCUUAAGUGGGGGAUAACAUUUGGAAACAGAUGCUAAUACCGCAUAGAUCCAAGAACCGCCUGGUUCUUGGCUGAAAGAUGGCGUAAGCUAUCGCUUUUGGAUGGACCCGCGGCGUAUUAGCUAGUUGGUGAGGUAAUGGCUCACCAAGGCGAUGAUACGUAGCCGAACUGAGAGGUUGAUCGGCCACAUUGGGACUGAGACACGGCCCAAACUCCUACGGGAGGCAGCAGUAGGGAAUCUUCCACAAUGGACGCAAGUCUGAUGGAGCAACGCCGCGUGAGUGAAGAAGGCUUUCGGGUCGUAAAACUCUGUUGUUGGAGAAGAAUGGUCGGCAGAGUAACUGUUGUCGGCGUGACGGUAUCCAACCAGAAAGCCACGGCUAACUACGUGCCAGCAGCCGCGGUAAUACGUAGGUGGCAAGCGUUAUCCGGAUUUAUUGGGCGUAAAGCGAGCGCAGGCGGUUUUUUAAGUCUGAUGUGAAAGCCCUCGGCUUAACCGAGGAAGCGCAUCGGAAACUGGGAAACUUGAGUGCAGAAGAGGACAGUGGAACUCCAUGUGUAGCGGUGAAAUGCGUAGAUAUAU
Molecule: ribosomal RNA, 588 nt
Filed under: uncultured bacterium
Lineage: Bacteria
Description: bacterial SSU rRNA
Rfam family: Bacterial small subunit ribosomal RNA
Source: RNAcentral